GUCAGGCCAGCUCCCCUUUCUUCAUUCCUGUGCAGUCUCUCUGAGAGGGAAUUAGAGAGGAGAGAGAGAGAGAGAAUCAGCCUCCUAAAGUGAGAUGGCUUGGUAUUUGCGUCUCCUCUAUUGGUGGAGCUACGGAGGUAUCUCCUGAAAGUCACGUGAGUGUUUGUUAACCCCCAAAGCCAAGAGAGGGGAGCUGCAAGAGAGCCAUCCUUAGAGAUCGGGGGUAUCAGCCAGAAAGCGAGACUGCAUCUUGUUUUUUAUUGGAUCUUCUGCUUAUACAUGUCCUUGCUGAUCUGUCUCCAUGCCAUUUUAAGACAGAGGAAAAAAAAUUGGAAACAAACGGCAGAAGAGAGAGAGAGGGUGUGGCCUGUCCUUGAACCUUUGCACGGCAAAUAUAUGAGAAUGUUCCAGUUCAAAUAGACACUACAAACUGUCACUGGCCCUGAACUGGCCCCUGGUACCUCAGUUGUGCUGUUUCAUGAUGUAAUCAUUUUGAAAGAAUUUUAAGUUAAAAAUUGGAAUCUGAAUUUAAGUCAACAAGCAGCUGCAAAGUGUGGGACACCUAAUGCCAAAAACGGGAUCACAACUCCAUGGCAAGAUUCCUCCUUUACUUGGAGAUAAGUGCAAUUUCAGACUGCUAUUUGCAAGUACUUGCCUGUGCUGAUUCUCCUGCCCUCGCAAGCCUUCUACCGGCACCACUGCCUGUAACUCUAGUGGUGGCUAAGCUACGUGUUCUGAUGUUUUGCUGAUAAUUCACAUUUGCUGUUUUCCCAUCACAAUUACAUUCUCCAUGACUUUCAUUUUGUUUUGUUUUUCAGCAAUAGUUGUAAUUCAUGUAGUCGUAGGAUAUUUGUUUGAUGUAAACUCUUAGUCCUAUCUGGAGAUAUUUAAAACACUGUGAUCUUUGCAAGAACACGAGGAAUGAUAUUUAACACAAAGCUUUUCUUUUCACCGAGCCCACAUUAAGCCAAGGUAAUUUCGUUCCAUUUUGUGCAAUGUUCUCACUUGUGAUUAUUCCUGCAGGUUUCUCCUUUUCUUUUUUUAAUGACAACAACUAAAGGGCAACAAACAGCUGCUGGAGUUACGGUUGUCAGACAUUUUAGAUAGUUUUCUUCUUUGCAUGAAACAGUCCUAUUGAAAAUACCAGGUCGUGUAUAUGUUGAGAUUGCCACCCGCUGGUGAAAUAGAGAAUUUCCAUUUUAAUGAGUAAUUUAAGAAAACAUAUUUGUUUUCUGUUUCCAGAGUAUGAGUUUGUACGUUUAGGUUCUUUAAAAUUUCAGACUUCAUUAGAAAAACAACAAAUUUCAUUGCUAUGAAACAAUUUAGAGCUCCAAUGGAAAAAUUAAAAAGUCAUCAUUAUGAAAUCACUUAAAAACCUUUAUUUACCUGUCUUGUAGCCUCGACAAAGGGGGGAAGUGAAAAAAAAUCAUGGAAUUAAAUAUGCCAAAGCGCGGUCAGCGGUUGCUGUUGAAUACUAAGAUUAAGAGGGAGCAAAAUAAUUUUUGUUGCUUCUUUACACCUUUAUUUAGUCACAUUUUUUUUUGUCCACAGAAAGCUUGUAUUGCUUUAAAAGAAAAUAUAAAUCUGAAGAGGAAAAAUAACUAUAUGUGUGUAUAUGGAUCAAAAUGUAAGUCUUCAAUAACAGGACUUUAUGGGGUGUUAAAAAAAGCACCGCCCUAAAUCAGUGCCACAUUAAACUAGACACACACAAAAGGAGCAAAGGCGCGGAGACUGAACUGCAGCUUUCAGCACUCCACUGGCACAAAUUUUAAAUUCAAAUGCAG
Long non-coding RNA from Equus caballus (horse), 1784 nucleotides. NCBI's taxonomy places the organism in Eukaryota, Metazoa, Chordata, Mammalia, Perissodactyla, Equidae. The record is from Ensembl.